GGAGGGUGCAAGCGUUAAUCGGAAUUACUGGGCGUAAAGCGCACGCAGGCGGUCUGUCAAGUCGGAUGUGAAAUCCCCGGGCUCAACCUGGGAACUGCAUUCGAAACUGGCAGGCUAGAGUCUUGUAGAGGGGGGUAGAAUUCCAGGUGUAGCGGUGAAAUGCGUAGAGAUCUGGAGGAAUACCGGUGGCGAAGGCGGCCCCCUGGACAAAGACUGACGCUCAGGUGCGAAAGCGUGGGGAGCAAACAGGAUUAGAUACCCUGGUAGUCCACGCUGUAAACGGUGGAUGCUGGAUGUGGGGACCAUUCCACGGUCUCCGUGCCGGAGCCAACGCGUUAAGCAUCCCGCCUGGGGAGU
RNAcentral lists this ribosomal RNA (357 nucleotides) under uncultured bacterium. RNAcentral describes it as "bacterial SSU rRNA". It matches the Rfam family "Bacterial small subunit ribosomal RNA", at positions 527 to 881 of the family's 1533-position model. The record is from RNAcentral.